Molecule: ribosomal RNA, 253 nt
Filed under: uncultured bacterium
Lineage: Bacteria
Description: partial 16S ribosomal RNA
Rfam family: Bacterial small subunit ribosomal RNA
Source: RNAcentral
UACAGAGGUCUCAAGCGUUGUUCGGAUUCAUUGGGCGUAAAGGGUGUGUAGGUGGCGCGCUAAGUCGGGUGUGAAAUUUCGGAGCUUAACUCCGAAACUGCAUUCGAUACUGCCGUGCUUGAGGACUGGAGAGGAGACUGGAAUUUACGGUGUAGCGGUGAAAUGCGUAGAUAUCGUAAGGAAGACCAGUGGCGAAGGCGGGUCUCUGGACAGUGCCUGACGCUGAGGCACGAAGGCUAGGGGAGCAAACGGG